CUUGAUCUUUUACAUGGUCUAAUGUGAUCAUGGUUUAUUUAUUCUGUUUUUAAGAACUUUUUAUAUUGUUCCUGUUUGAUCCUUUUACUACAAACUGGAAAGUCUGCUGUGAAUUCUUCUGUAGAAUUUGUCUUCAGUAAAUCGGAUAUGGAAGAACUUCAAGGAUUGUGCCUCGCCUUAUCUGAGAAGUUCCAAGGCACGAAUGACAGUAUGCUCCACUGAAGACAUCCAGUCUGUUCUCCUGUACCUUCCCCCCCACCUGCCCCCAUUGGUAUAGUUUAAAUUGAAGAGACCAGAGUUCUGCCAUAAUUGUGUUUUGGACAUUUUUUUAAAAAGAAAAAAAAAACCAGAUGUAGAAAACACCCUAAACUUUAUUUUAUAAAUAAUUUUAACCUGAAUAAAUGAGUGAGCUCAUGAAUAACAA
Molecule: long non-coding RNA, 424 nt
Organism: Pantherophis guttatus
Lineage: Eukaryota; Metazoa; Chordata; Lepidosauria; Squamata; Colubridae
Source: RefSeq, a predicted model, not a curated record